GUGGGUAUAGCUCAGUGGUAGAGCACAUGCUUAACACGCAUGAGGUCCUGCAUUUAAUCCCUAGUACCUCCA
RNAcentral lists this transfer RNA (72 nucleotides) under Camelus bactrianus (Bactrian camel). It matches the Rfam family "tRNA". Rfam says of the family: Transfer RNA (tRNA) molecules are approximately 80 nucleotides in length. Lineage: Eukaryota; Metazoa; Chordata; Mammalia; Artiodactyla; Camelidae. The record is from Rfam by way of RNAcentral. RNAcentral also lists the same sequence under 2 other names.